This 1396-nucleotide long non-coding RNA is filed under the name Nicotiana benthamiana. Its description in RNAcentral is "long non-coding RNA (NBEN_LNC028679)". The record is from RNAcentral. Lineage: Eukaryota; Viridiplantae; Streptophyta; Magnoliopsida; Solanales; Solanaceae.
UAUUUGCUAUGUGCUAUGUGGAGUCGGUGUAUAGGUAUGGUGACGUUUACCUAUGCGCCCGAGUCAAGCAUUACCGUGAGUUAUAGUUGCUAUUAAAAUUGCGAAAGAAAUGAACAAUGGUGAUAAUUACUUGUUACAAGAACUAUGAAGUGAAAGUUGAGAAGUAAAUGAACUAAAGAGGAAUUUUUGGUACUUCUCCCUUGCCGGAAUUUAUUGUUGAGCUGUAUUCCCUUACCGGGAUUUAUUGUUGAAUUAUUCUCCCUUGCCGGGAUAUUUUGUUUUGAUAUAUAUUUCCUUUCCCGUUUGGUUGUGGCCAUUGAUUGGGUGAGGAAGAGAGAGUAAAAGCACGAAGGGUGAUGUCGUGCACUAUGUGUUUNNNNNNNNNNNNNNNNNUAUAUAUAUAUAUAUUUAUAUUUAUAUAUAUAUAUAUAUAUGUGUGUGUGUGUGUGUGUUUUUUUUCUUUUUCCCGUUUAGUUGUGACCAUUGAUUGUGAGAGGAAGAGAGAGUAAAAGCAUGAAGGGUGGUGUCGUGCCUUGUAUUUGAUAUUCUUGGUGAGAAAUGAGAGUAAAAGCACGAAAGGUGAUGCCGUGCAUUAUAUUUGACCAUUUUUGUGAGGAAUGAGAGUAAAAGCACGAAGGGUGAUGCCGUGCAAUUGUUGAUUCAUUGGCUUUCUUUAUUUAAUGAUUAUUAUCCAGUUCCAUCUCUUGUUUGUUGAAAUUGUAAUUGAAUUGCUACUCGCCCAUCAUGUAUCUUCCCUUUUUAUUUGUUUAAAUUCUUGUCCCCUUAUGCAAUUGCAUAUACAUUUGUACAGGUUGUUUGUGGUAGGUCCGGUUUAGCCUCGUCACUACAUCGCCGAGGUUAGGCCGGGUACUUACCAGCACAUGGGGUCGGUUGUGCUGAUAUUACACUUUUGUGCCUUUUUGUGCACAGGUCAGGAGACAGCCUACGGACCGCAGCAGUAGUUAGGGGGCGAUCCUUCAGUCCAAAGACUCUGAGGUAGUUCGUUGCCGUUCACGGGCCCUGAGUCUCGUCUAUCUCUUCUAGUUUAUUUUCAUUGUAUCAGACAGACAUGUGAUGUAUUUCUUUCAUACUAUUGUUUUUAGUACUCUUUUAGUCGUCUGUGAGUAGUGACACCAGAUACUGGGUAGAGGCAUGUUGCUAUUUUUUCGCAUUUUGUUAUCGCUAAUGUUGAUAAAAGUCUUCCGCGUGUUUUAACUAAUUAUUUCAGUAUUUAAUUUGUUUUAGAUUAAAGUUUGUGAAAAGGAUUAAAAAUGGUUGGCUUGCCUAGAUUCGACAGUAGACGCCAUCAUGACUCCCGAUGGUGGAAAAAAUCCGGGUCGUGACAGGUAAAAGUCAAACUUUGCACAGGGAAGCCAACCACUUAAUCCAACAGCUG